AACUGGAAAAUUUUGGGUUUUUCAUGGUUUUUAUCACUUGGGUUCCAACAGGGCCUGGCUGUUCUUCACUUGGAGUUGGGGCUGUUGAAGGAAACGUUACUAGUAUGGACAGGUGUCAAAUGACCAGUGGAGGCUCCUAACCUUUGUCGUCAUUCACAGCAGCCAAGGAUUUUCUGUUUUUCUGUUUUCAUUCUUCUCAACAGAUUGCUCCACGUUGCUCCUCUUAUUUUCCAUUACUAAAAUCUGUUUUUGCUCUCAAUCUCUACUAUAAAUGUACCAAAAAAUGAUCCAUUAAAUAGAAUGAAGGGAUUCAUUUUCUCAUUUUCUGAUUCUCCAUUAUUUUUCUGCUUAUGCUCUGUAUUUAGCUUUUUUUUUUACUGUUCUUAACUUGGUAUCUGAGCCUUUUUUCCUCACGGAUUAAGCUUUCGUUAUGACCAACACCAACAGUAACGCCACCAGUCAAACGAUUGAAUCUGUCACUGCCUCUGGUGCGAUUGGGAGCUCCGUCGAUGGCUUUGAUGGAAGACUGUUUGCAACCAAAAAGCUUAAUAUUAUCCUAGAUGAUGACAACUACUUAUUGUGGCAGCAACAAGUUUUACUAGCAGCCAAAACCUUCAAACUUCAAGGCUACUUAGACGGCACCCUUGUUCCACCUCCCUCGAUGAUACCCGAUGAAAAUGGUGGGUCAACACCAAACCCAGAUUUUGCAAGAUAUGAGCAACAAGAUAGUGCUCUUGCUUCUUGGUUGCUUUCAUCAGUGAGUCAAACAGUUCUUCCUCACCUUAUUGGAAUGAACACUUCUUCUCAAAUAUGGCAAACUUUGGCUCGUGUUUAUGGCAGCAAAACGACCUCCAAGCUAAUGUUUUAUCGUCGAGCACUUCACUCUCAACGCAAAGGUGAUUUGAGCAUGAAGGAUUAUUUACUUAAAAUUAAAAGUUUCUGUGAUAACUUAGCAAACUGUGGAUAAAUGGUUAGUGAAUAUGAGCAUGUUACGGCUAUUUUAAAUGGUUUAUCUGCUGAUUUUGAAUCUGUUAUUACUGCCAUCUCGGCUAGUCCUAUUCCAUACAGCGUUCAAACGGUAUCCACACUUCUUCUUGAUGCUGAAGCGCGACAACAAACUCUUCUCGCCUCUAUUCCAGCUGCUGCCAAUAUGAUUACCACUCAAAGUUCUCAAAACAAUGGAGAAACUCCCUCUUACAGACCACCCAAUCCUUCUUCUUUUCGAGGUCGAGGAAGGGGUCGAUCUAAUAAUUCUAGGCUCCAAUGCCAACUUUGCGGAAAGCCCGGGCAUCUGGUAGAUCGAUGCUACUUUCGUUUCGAUCAAAACUAUAAGGCUUCUACUUACAGACCUCCCUCUUCACAACCGGGAACACAAGCUCCUCAAGCCUAUCUUGCUACCUUCAACACCCCUCAAUGGACACCAACUGGUGGGUCAUCCUCUGUGCAUAAUAGUGGGACAGCACCAUGGGCCCCACCUCCUUCACUUGAACCACAUGGGUAUUGGAUUUAUCAAACUUCACCUCUCCAGAAUGCUAAUGCCUCCAUGCCACCAACCACUACUCUGCCUAAUAAUGCCAAUGCUUAUAUUGUAACUCCUGAAACAGUAAGUGAUCUAAGUUGGUACACAGACUCUGGUGCUACCCACCAUAUAACUCACUCUUCUGAAUCCAUGGGUGAAAAAGCUUCAUAUUCUGGACCAGGUACAAUUUUUGUUGGUAAUGGUUAUGGUCUUCCUGUUAUGCAUACUGGUCAAUUGUCUUUAAUUACUCAAACACGACCUUUAGUCAUGCGCUCUUUACUUUAUGUUCCUGGCAUCACUAAAAAUCUUCUCUCUGUUUCCAAGUUCACUAGUGAUAAUCAAGUGAUGUUUGAGUUUUUUCCAAAGGAGUGCAAGGUUCGGGACCUAAAGACAAAUGAAGUUCUGUUGCAUGGAGAUGUUCAUGGUGGUUUAUAUCGUUUAAAGUUGCCAUUUUCUUCUUCAAAUCCGUCUGCUCAAUGCUAUGUUACUUCGCAUACUACUCCGUUGUCUUUAUGGCAUGCUCGUCUUGGGCAUCCAUGCCGCUCUACUCUUGUUCAAGCUCUUCAAAAUUGUAAUGUUUCAUUUCAUGAUAAUAAAAUUGGUGACUGUUGUCCAGCAUGUCAAAUGGGAAAAGCUCAUAAACUGCCUUUUACAAAUUCCUUGACAGAGUAUACAACACCGUUACAAUUAAUUAUAUCUGAUGUUUGGGGACCAGCACCGGUUACAUCAAAUGGUUUCUCCUAUUAUGUGGCAUUUAUAGAUGCUUUUUCUAGAUAUACAUGGAUAUACUUUCUCACUCGAAAAUCAGAUGUUUUAAGUGUGUUUAUUCAAUUUCAUAAGAUGGUGGAACGUCUUCUUGGUCACAAGAUAAAAGUACUUCAAACUGACAAUGGUGGAGAAUUUCAAGCUUUAAAAGGGUAUCUAUCGCACCAUGGUAUCAUUCAUCGUUUAUCAUGCCCUCAUACUUCUGAGCAAAAUGGCAUAGUUGAACGGAAACAUCGCCAAAUUGUUGAAUCUGGGUUGUCGAUGCUUGCUCAUGCUAGUAUGCCUCUACACUACUGGAAUGAUGCCUUUACAAGUGCUAUUUUUCUUAUUAAUCGACUUCCAACCAAUGCGUUAGAUGGUUUUUCUCCGUUUGAAAAACUUUUUGGCACAAAACCAGAUUAUCAAUUCUGCCAUGUAUUUGGGUGUCUCUGCUUUCCAAAUUUGCGCCCCUUCAACAGGAACAAAUUGAAUUUUCGGUCAGAGCCUUGUGUUUUUCUUGGUUAUUCUCCUUUACAUAAAGGAUAUCGGUGCCGGACAUCAGAGGGUAAAAUCAUUGUUUCACGUCAUGUCAUUUUUAAUGAACAACAAUUUCCCUUUAAACAAACCCAAUCUCAGCUUUUACCUCACCAAAAUAAAAAUUCAACCACUACCUUGUAUAUUGUGCCAUCACCUAUCAACUCAUCCCCUCCUUCACGUCACAUAAGUCCAUCACCUCCACAUAUUUCUUCUACUACUCCUACACACACUAUGGGACCCACCAUGUGUUCACUUGAUAACCCCCCAUCUUCGGCCUAUAUACCAUCCCACCCUCCUACUUUAUCUGACAAUUCCCACACUACAAUUAACCCACCAUCACAUUCUACUCCUAUACUCACACCACAAAUUGAUCAAACUGAAAAUUUUGAACCACAACAAGCUUCCACCACAAACACCCAUCCCAUGAUAACUAGAAGCAAAGCUGGAAUUUUUCGCCUCAAAAUUCUAUUUUCUCAAGCACCUUCCUCUGACCCUGAGUUACCCUCUGAUAUUCAUAGUGCUAUGCGUUAUCCUCACUGGCAAAAUGCUGUUCAUAGUGAGAUUCAAGCUUUGAUAAAAAAUAACACUUGGACAUUAGCUCAUUUACCAUCUUCUCAUCGUGCUAUCGGAUGUAAAUGGCUGUUCAAAGUUAAGAAGAAACCAGAUGGUAUAGUGGACCGUUACAAAGCGCGUCUUGUUGCUAAAGGGUUCUCUCAAAAUGCCGAUUCUGAUUUUGUUGAUACUUUCAGCCCAGUAGUUCGUGCCAACACUAUACGGACUGUUCUUGCUAUUGCUGUUAUGAAAGAAUGGAGUCUUCGUCAAAUUGAUGUAAAUAAUGCGUUCCUUAACGGCAUUCUUACUGAAGAAAUUUAUAUGCAACAACCACCGGGAUUCGAAGCUCAGGGGUUGAACGGUGAGUCAUUGGUAUGUAAGCUCAACAAAGCAUUGUAUGGCCUUAAACAAGCUUCUCCAGCUUGGUUCAACACUCUAAAGGAUUUCCUUGUCUCCAACUUGGGUUUUCAGCCUUCCAAAAUUGAUUCUUCACUCUUUAUUCGACACACUGCCCGCUCACAAGUAUUUCUUAUGGCUUAUGUUGAUGAUAUUGUUUUAACCGGCAAUUCUCAAUCUGAUAUUGAUGAUAUUGUCACCCAACUUCACUCUCGAUUUGCUAUUAAAGAUCUUGGAACUCUUCAAUAUUUUCUUGGUAUUGAGAUUUGCUCUAUGACUGGUGGCUUAUUACUUUCACAAAAGAAAUAUCUUCUGGAACUGCUUCAUCGAACUGGUAUGCAUGGUGCCACACCUACUCCUACGCCAAUGGUAGGUCUCCCUCAUCUGACUCGCAAUAAUGGUACUCCUUUUGAAGAUACUCAUUUAUAUAGAAGCGUAAUCGGCACUCUUCAAUAUGCUUGUAUUACCAGACCAGAUCUCACCUAUUGUGUUAAUAAACUAAGUCAAUAUAUGAAUCAUCCUCUAGACACUCAUUGGAAAGCUGUAAAAAGAGUAUUGAGGUACAUCAAUGGAACUCUUGAUUAUGGAUUGCGGUUCAAAAAGGGGUGUUUUAAUCUUGUUGGAUAUUCAGAUGCUGACUGGGCCUCCACUCCUGAAGAUCGACGCUCCACCACCGGCUACUGUAUUUUCUUAGGACCAAAUCCUAUCACGUGGUCAUCUAAAAAGCAGUCAGUUGUCUCCCGUUCAUCUACUGAAGCUGAAUAUAGGAGCUUAGCUAAUUGUGCUUCUGAAAUGCUUGGAUUACAACAACUUCUUGAUGAACUUGGUAUAAGUCUCUCACACACACCAAUUAUAUGGUGUGAUAAUACCUCUGCCGUUUCAAUCUCCGCCAAUCCAGUUCACCACUCAAAAGUUAAACAUGUUGAGAUUGAUCUAUACUUUGUAAGGGAAAAGGUUCUCUCUGGAGCUUUGCAAGUCAACUAUAUCCCCUCAAAUAAACAAAUUGCUGAUUCUCUCACUAAACCCAUCUUACCUAAAGACUUUUCUCACUUUCGCAAAGCUUUAUGUGUUUCUUCACCACAAGCUAUAGAAGACGGGGAGGAUGUUGAAGGAAACGUUACUAGUAUGGACAGGUGUCAAAUGACCAGUGGAGGCUCCUAACCUUUGUCGUCAUUCACAGCAGCCAAGGAUUUUCUGUUUUUCUGUUUUCAUUCUUCUCAACAGAUUGCUCCACGUUGCUCCUCUUAUUUUCCAUUACUAAAAUCUGUUUUUGCUCUCAAUCUCUACUAUAAAUGUACCAAAAAAUGAUCCAUUAAAUAGAAUGAAGGGAUUCAUUUUCUCAUUUUCUGAUUCUCCAUUAUUUUUCUGCUUAUGCUCUG
RNAcentral lists this long non-coding RNA (5127 nucleotides) under Gossypium barbadense (sea-island cotton). Its description in RNAcentral is "long non-coding RNA (GBAR_LNC020487)". The record is from RNAcentral. Lineage: Eukaryota; Viridiplantae; Streptophyta; Magnoliopsida; Malvales; Malvaceae.